CAGUUGAGGGCAGCGGGUUAUUUUGGUGGACCAGAGGUGUUAGAGGUAGAGAAAAAAUUAGAAAAGGAGCUAUCAAAAAAAAGUUUUUAGAAGAAAAAAUCAAGAUACAAGUGGCUGAAAGAAGGGGAUAGCAACACAAAGUUCUUUCAUCAGAAGUUCCAUGCUAGAAACUAAAAAAAUAAAAUUUGGAGACUAGUUUGAAAUGAUGGUGAGAUGGUUUCAGAUCCACAAAAUAUUGCUCUGGUGGCUAAAAAUUAUUUCAAGAAAAUAUUUUCAUCCCAUAACCCAUUAUAACCUGGUGAUAUAUUCAGUGAUUUUAGUCCUCCAGUUAUAGUUUUCAUGAACCGGGAAAAUGAGACCAAUCUUUGUGGAGAAAACUAAGAUAUUUACUUUCAGCGUUUGUCCUCAAAUUGCUCCAAGUGAGGAUGGCUUUACAAUAUGAUUUUUUCAAUUUUAUUGAGACAUUGUGAGUGCUAAUAUUUUUCAGGCGGUUCGUAGCUUCUUUGGUGGAGGUAAAAUUUUCAAGGCGUUUAACCAUACAAAGAUUUGCUUGAUCCCUAAGAUCCCGAAUGCUAGAGACAUGUCACAGGUUAGAUCUAUUAGCUUAUCCUCAGUUUUUUAUAAGAUUAUUUCUAAAGUUCUGGUACAUAGACUUCAGGAUUAUUUUAUGAAUAAUUUAAUAAGUCUAAACUAGAGUGCAUUUUAAAGGGUAGAUUAAUUUCUGAUAAUAUUGUAAUAACUCAUGAAUGUAUGCACUACCUCAAAACUAAGAGGUGCGGAUUGGAAUGUGAAAUGACUAUUAAAUUGGAUAUGAGUAAAGUAUAUGAUAGAGUUGAAUGGAGUUUUUUAUGGUUCAUCAUGGAGAAAACGGGUUUUGAAACCAGAUGGAUUUCUUGGAUCAGAGAACUAGUCACUACUGUUUCUUACUCUAUUCUUGUGGAAGGUCAAUAUUAUGACUUUUUUAAGCCAAAAAGGGGUAUCCGGCAAGGAGAUCCCUUGUCACCUUAUCUAUUUCUAUUCUGUGCGAAAGGAUUAUCCUAUCUGUUACACAAGGCAGAGCAAAACAUGUCUAUUCAGGAAAUUCAGAUUCACAAAAGGUCUCCAACAGUCAAUCAUCUUCUCUUUGCUGACGACUCUAUUUUAUUUGAAAAGAUUCUCUAGUGAAAGACAUACACAUGAUUCUAAGAUAGUUUUGGUGGGGUCAGAAGGGAGUGGAGAGAAAUAUGGCUUGAGUUAGUUGAGAUUGUAUGACCAGACCCAAAAAAGAAGGCAGAUUAGGAUUCAAGGAUCUUAGAGCCCAGAACCUAGCCUUGUUGGGUAAACAGUUUUGGCGAAUUACUACUAAGUCUAAUUCGCAAUUUGCGAAUAUGCUCAAAGAAAAAAAAACUAUAGAUACACUAACUCCCUUUUGGCAGAUAAAGGAAACCAACCUUCUUGGGGUUGGCAAAGUCUACUGGAGGAAAGAAAAAUGGUAGAAAAGGGUUUGGAAUGGAGUAUAGGAUCUGACACAAAUGUUCGUAUCUGGGAGGACUCAUGGUUACUCCCACCCUAACUUUUUAGACUUAGUAACAACAACAAUCCAAUAAUAGACAUUCAUUGGUUACAUGAUUUACUUAGAGUAGAUGAAAGAUGAAAUAACGAGCUAGUUGAAGCAA
Molecule: non-coding RNA, 1655 nt
Organism: Arachis ipaensis
Lineage: Eukaryota; Viridiplantae; Streptophyta; Magnoliopsida; Fabales; Fabaceae
Source: RefSeq, a predicted model, not a curated record